Long non-coding RNA from Marmota monax (woodchuck), 9334 nucleotides. RefSeq lists it as uncharacterized. NCBI's taxonomy places the organism in Eukaryota, Metazoa, Chordata, Mammalia, Rodentia, Sciuridae. The transcript is spliced from 7 exons. The record is from RefSeq and is a predicted model, not a curated record.
UUCAUAAUGGCUGCCUUUCUGACUGGAGUGAGAUGGUAUCUUAGGGUGGUUUUGAUUUGCAUUUCUCUGACUGCUAGAGAUGGUGAGCAUUUUUUCAUGUAUUUGUUAAUUGAUUGUAUGUCCUCUUCUGAGAAGUUUCUGUCCAAGUCCUUGGCCCAUUUGUUGAUUGGGUUAUCUGCUUUUUUGUUGUUUAACUUUUUGAGUUCUUUGUAUACUCUAGAGAUUAGAGCUCUAUCUGAUGUUUGAGGGGUAAAAAUUGGUUCCCAGGAUGUAGGCUCCCUAUUCACCUCGCAUAUUAUUUCUCUUGCUGAGAAAAAACUUUUUCAGUUUGAAUUCGUCCCAUUUGUUGAUUCUUGGUUUUAACUCUUGUGCUAUAGGAGUCUUAUUAAGGAAUUUGGGGCCUGCCCCCACGAGAUGAAGAUGAGGACCAACUUUAUCUUCUAUUAGACGCAGAGUCUCUGGUCUGAUUCCUCAGUCUGCCAUCUUGAAAGCCUGACCGUGCAGAACCCCUGAAGCUCUCCUGGGAGGAACCAUCACCACCUUCAGAAAGGCCACCUUGACUUUGGUCACUUUACAGGGGACAAAAACCAACUCUGUUCUUGGAGCCACGAGGGCCACUCCUUUAAGUGCCAAAAGGCGCCCCCUUACAGGAACCCUGAAUUCCACCUCGGAGCAUCAAUACCUCCAUGAACCAGGCUGCAUAUAUUUACAGAGGGAAUCAUAUCACCCAUUUCCCUGGUGGUAAAGGGAGAAGAUGACCAAGGCUCAUCAGUGGAUGUGUCCUGUCUUGUGGAAACCCUCACAGUACUUCUCUGGGAGCUCGAGGACGGCCUGGUGCCUGCCCUGCAGCAGGGGAACACCCCCUAUGUCCAUGGGGUUUUGUAUUUGUACCAAGAUUUGGCCAGUACCCAGAAGGCUCUGGAGCUGCUGGGUAAAAGGUAUGGACGCCUCCAGCCAUAUGUUGAGGAGGAGUACCUUCAAGACAAGAAAUCAUGACUCACCAGAGUAAUUAACUGGUCUAACAAUAUUGAAGUUAGACCAGUUAAUUACUCUGUAAUGGACUGAACAGUUGGAAUAAAAGGAAGAGUUCCAAGUUUUGCAUUCCAAAUAGAAAGCUGUGCCUUGGGCUGGGCUGUAGCUCAGUGGCAGAGUGCUUGCCUAGAAUGUAUGAGGCACUGAAUUCAAUCCUUAGCACUACAAAAAAAAAAAAAAAAAACCAACUAAACAAAGAAAGGCAUGCUGUUGAUCUAAAACUAUUAAAAGAAGAAAGAAAGAAAAGAAAAAAAAAAAAGCUGUGCCUCUUGAAUAAUUAGUCCCAAUGAGAAUGCAAGGGAAAUGUUCAUAAAGAAAAUUAAAGUGCUGCUCCAGGGCAUAGGUGAAUGAUAAGAAAGCAAAACAGCUGAUAGGGAUAAAGUUUUCAUAGUCUGGAGAACAGGUGAAACAAGCCACGUUCCCUUAAGCCAAAACCGCAUCCAGAUAAGGCCCAAACAUUAGAUUUUUCUGAUGCCAAGAGAAGGGAGAAAGCUCCAGAAGAAGUCUGAAGGUGGCAGAAUUUGGUUCAUGAUGUUCGAAGCAAGCGGCCCAUCUCCAUAUAAGACAAGUGCAGGGUGAAGCAGAAAUUGCUGAUGUAGAAGCUACAGCAAGUCAUGAAGAAGAUCUUGCUAAGCUAUCUGAUGAAGACGCGAUAUGGUUGAGUUUCUCGGUGUCCCCCAAAAGCUCAUGGGUGAGACAAUGCAAGAAGGUUUAGAGGGGAAAUGAUCCUGUUAUGAGAGCCUAAAGCCAAUUAGUGAAUUAAUCCCCUGGCAGGAUGAACAGGUGGCACAGAUAAAAUGGGGUGCCCACACCCUCCCCAAGCCUGGAGGUGUAGGCGCCACCUGUGGAGGAGUCCAGUUGCAGUGUGGAAGUGAACAGCAGCCACCCUCAACGUUCCACAUUAGGGUUCCACAUUGGAGGUUCCCAGCAACCAGCGGCAUCCCUCUGCGGGCAGGUCGUUCAUCAGGGAGCCUAGGCGCCCUAAGGCCCUUUGGGGAGUCCAGUUGAAUCGGUGGCUGCAUGGAAAUAGGCGUCCAAAUAGGAGCAUCCUCAUCCAUUGGCGGUGGCGGGAGUCUGCUUCCAGUGCAGUGGAGGUGUUGGCAGCAUUUCUGGUGGCCAGGUCGGGACUCCAGUGGCCACAGUGUGGAGCGCUGGCUGUGGCGACAGCGACAGCGUAGGGCAGCGGGCCUCAGAGUCAGAGGGCGACCAGAGGAUGGGGUGCCCUGUGCUGUGGCUGCCCCAGGCCACUUGUCUUGCUCCUGGCAGGGCCUGCCUGCUCAGGAAGCAGGACACGGCAGGCGGCGGUACCCACACAGCCCCUGAGGACCUUAUGCUGAGCACGCAGGCGGCGCCUGGCACCGGCACUGAGCCCCCCGGGUGGCAGCUCGCCCCACCCCGGGUUCGCCCUGCCCCUCCCUGGGUUGCGGCCUCUGCGGGGGAAGUAGGCCCGCUGCCAGCCGGGGCAGCCUUUAAAGAGGACACCCACCCUCCCCAGCGACAUCUCUCCUGGGCUGUGGCCACUGAGAGCAGAGGCAGUGGGGGGUGGGGCUACAAAUCCUCCCCCUCAAAGCGCAUCCCUGGGGCGGGACAAGAGUGGAGGGCAUAGAUGGCAGAGGGAACCCCAAGACGUGCCGUCCUUGGUCUUGGUCUUCUGCCACCCUUAGACAAAGAAAUGUACUUUAAAAAAAUUAAUUAGCUCUAAUUAGUUGUACAUAACAGCAGAAUUCACUUUGGUUCAUUGUACAGAAAUGGAGCACAGCUUUUCAUUUCUCUGGUAGAACACGAUGUAGAGUUGCACCAUAUGUGCAGUCCUGCAUGUACCUAGGGUAAUGAUAUCCCUCUCAUUCCACCCUCUUUCCUACCCCAUGCCCGUCCCUCCUAUCCUUCCCCUUUGCCCCAAGUUCCUCCAUUCUUCCCUUGCCCCCCUCAUUAUGGAUCAGCAUCCACUUAUCAGGGAGAACAUUCAGCCUGUUGUUUUUGAGGAUUAGCUUUUUUCACUUACAUAAUAUUCUCCAACUCCAUCCACUUACCUGCAAGUGUCAUAAUUUUAUUCUCUUUUAAAGCUAAGAUUCCAUUGUGCACAUAUACCUCAUUUUCUUUAUCGAUUUAGCUCUUGAAGGACUUCUAGGUUGGUUCCACAGUUUACCUACUGUGACUUGAGCUGCUAUAAACAUUGAUGUGGCUGCAUCACUCUAGUAUGCUGAUUUUAAGUCUUUUGGGUAUAGAUUGAGGAGUGGAAUUUCUGGGUCAAAUGGAGGUUCCAUUCCACGUUUUUUGAGGAAGCUCCAUUCUGCUUUCCAGAGUGGUUGCACCAAUUUGCAAUGCCACUAGCAAUGUAUGAGUAUACCUUUCCCCCCACAUCCUCACCAACACUUAUUGUUGCUUGUAUUCUUGUUAACUGCCAUUCUGGCUGGAGUAAGAUGGUCUUAGAGUAGUUUUGAUUUGCAUUUCUCUAAUUUCUGGUGAAGUUGAACAUAUUUUCAUAUAUUUGUUGAUCGACUGUGUAUUUUCUUCUGUGAAGUGUCUGUCCAUUUCCUUAGCCCAUUUAUUGAUUGGGUUAUUUAUUCUUUGGGUGUUGAAGUUUUUGAGUUUUUUAUAUAUCCUGGAAAUUAGUGUUUUAUCUAAUGUGUGUGUAGUAAAGAUGUUCUCCCACUCUGUGAGCUCUCUUUUCAUAUUAUUGUUUCCUUUGCUGAGAAGAAGCUUUUAAGUUUGAAUCCAUCCCAUUAUUAAUUCUUGAUUUUAUUUCUUAAGUACAGGGUCUCUGGUCUAAUUCCUAGGUCCUUGAUCUACUUUGAGUGUUUGUGCAAGGUGAGAGAUCGUGGUUUAAUUUCAGUCUGCUACAUAUGGAUUUACAGUUUCCCCAGCACCAUUGUUGAAGAGGCUAUCGUUUAGCUAAUGUAUGUUUUCGGCACCUUUGGCAAGAAUGAGAUAACUACAUUUAUGUGGGUUUUUCUCUGUAUCUUCUAUUUUGGACCAUUGGUCUACAUGUGUAUUUUGGUGCCAAUAGCAUGCCGUUUUUGUUACUACAGAUCUGUAGUAUAGUUUAAGGUUUGAUAUUGUGAUGUGUCCUACUUCACUCUUCUUGCUAAGGAUUGCUUUGUCAAUAAGGAUUUCUCUGUGUCUAUUUUUCCAAAUGAAUUUCAUGAUUACUUUUUCUAUUUCUAUGAGGAAUGUUAUUGGGAUUUUAAUUGGAAUCACAUUAAAUCUGUAUAAGGUUUAUGAUAGUGUGGCCAUUUUGACAAUAUUAAUUCCAUGAGGGAGGAAUUGGAAUCAGGUACCUGCUCAAAAGGGGAGGGAUCCGAUAGCCAUGCCCACCUCAAAAUGGCAAGGAAUGCUUUCCAAGAUGUAGUCGGUGUGCUUCCAGAGCCGGGGUGUCUGGUGAUGUCAGGGGAACCGAUGGCCUUGUGCUGUGGGGAGGUAGCAGCUGAGUGACCUGCGUGGGAGUGGAGCGAGUCUCGGCGGUCUGCAGAUGUGUUGGUAGGUGGUUCUGCUAAGGCGCUGGCCAAGUCUUAAGUGAACUGCAACUUUGGCUUUGGGUCCUGCUCGGACACUGAGGCCCUGAGUCCUGCGCGAGGUCACAGCGCUGGUCAUUUCUGUAGAGAGAAGCUGUACAGGGGCCUCUAACACUCUCAAGAGAUGCAGAAUUCCUACUAGGAGAGAUCUGGAUCACAGAGCAACACAGAUGCUGCUUCCCUCUGGUCCGCCAUCUUUGAAAGUCUUUUCAAUUUCUUUCUUUAGUUUUCAUUGUAUAGGUCUUUCAUCUCUUUUGUUAAAUUUAUACCCAAAUAUUUCAUUUUUGAGGCUAUUGUGAAUGGGAUAGUUUUCCUAAUUUCUCUUUCAGAGGGUUCAUCACUAAUAGAUAGAAAUGCAUUUGAUUUAUGAAUAUUGAUUUCAUAUCCUGUGACAUUGCUGAAUUUGUUAAUAUUAGAAGUUUUCUGGUGGAGUUUUUUUUGGAUCCUCUAUGUGUAGAAUCAUGUCGUCAGCAAAUAGGGAUAGUUUGAGUUCUUCUUCCCCUAUUCCUAUCCCUUUAAUUUCUUUCAUCUACAGCUCUGUCGUGUAGUGUAAGCUGUAGUGGAGUUUAAACAGCAGUAUAGUUUAAACUCUGGCUAGAGUAUCAGGGACUAUGUAGAGUAGAAGGUGAGAGAGGGCAUCCUUGUCCUGUUCCAGUUCUGAGAGGAAAUGCUUCCCAUCAGAAAUGCACUUUGAGGAUGAAGAGGUCCUAGUUCCUCUGCUCUCUCCCCCCACAGCCCAGGUGGGAUGUCUCUUAGGAAGGUGGGGGUCCUCUCCCAAGGCUGCCCCACCUGGCAGAUGGCCUAGUUCCCCUGCAGAGGCCACAUCGGGGAUGGGGCGAGCAGCCACCCGGCGGGCUCAUGGCCAGUGCCAGGCGAGGCAGGUGUGGGCAGCCUAAGGUCCUCAGCAGCUGCCUGGGUAUUGCCACCCCCCUCGUGCUGCUUCCCGAACAGGCCGCUCAGCCAGGACCAAGACCCAGGGCCUGGAACGGCCACUGCAGAGGCCACUCCAGCCUCUCGUCGCCCUUCCACUCUGAGGCUCACUGCCCUGCGCCCUCGCUGCCGCCGCCAGCCUGGAGCUCUUCACUGUAGCCACCGGACUCCCCACAUGGUCGCCAGAUGCCACUGCAGCAGGAUUCCUGUUACCCCAGCAGGAUGAAGAUGCUCACCACUGGACGCCUCUGUGUCCUCAGCCCCGUUUCCAGACUCUACUGGUGCUGCCGCCACCGUGCAGCAACCAAACUCCCAAACCCCAGCUGGACUAUGAUGCUGCCCACCAAGGGCCCAACGUCAAUGCCCUUCACCCCCCGCCAUGAUGCCUGACUCCAGUGCCCCAUGCCGGCUCCCGGAUGAAGCUGCAUGUUGCUGCUGCCACCACCAGACUCCAUCAUGGACGCAAGACAGCGAUACUCAGCACUGGAUGCCCACUUCACCCACUGCAGCCUGCCGCAGUCUGGCUGGGCACAAAUGCCGCAGUCUGGCUGGGCACACAAUCACGAGCCACCACACAGCUUGUAGAUUCAAACAGCAACUCUUUAUUCCCGAACUCACACCAGCCGUCUACAAUCACGUUCUGGGGAAAUCCACGUUCUCUGCCCAAAUCCACGUUCUCUGCCCAAAUCCACCUCCACUGGGCUUCUAUCUCCAAAAUAUACUGUCUAAAUCCCGUGAGAACUCAAGGGGAACUCAGGCAGCAGGAUACGCCCUAUUCCCAGCAGGAAUAAUCUUAAACCUUAAACCUGGAACCUAAACUGGGAACGCCCUAAACACGCUUAUCUUAAAACCGGGAACACCCUAAUCUGCCUUGGUCCUUGAGCAAGGUCACGUACAUUCAAUGUCACUGCAACAUGGGGUACGCUGGCAAGGAAAUUGUCAUACCUACUUGGCUAAUGGCUCCCAGCAGCAGCCAGACUCCUGUGGCACUGCAAGACAGAAAUGAUCAUGGCAACAUCCCUCUGUUGUCACCACGGCAGCUUCUGGACUCUUCUGCUGCCACCGCCACUGUGAGUAUGCAGCAAGGGAUCUCCCAAACUGCAGCUGGAUGCCAACACCUCAGCUGUUGCCACCCCCACGCCAACUCUCAACUCCGGACCUCCCUCGCCUGAUGCCCGACGCCUGAAGCAGCUACAUGUUGCUGCUGCUGCCACCAGAUGCUACCACUCCAUGAGGCCUCUUCAGUGAUUCCAUCCCAAAGAUGCUGCUGUGCUGCCCAAGACCACAGAAGCUGGGAAGUUGGGUAGUCUCCAUCGCAGUCGCCUCAUCAGUGCCCACCGGUUGCUUCCUGCCUUUCCUCCCCCAGGACCACCCACCAGUCCUUCUGGGCCCUUGAGUAGGAGUUGUGCUGACUCAGGGAACUCAUCCAAGGAAAACAACUGACCAUCAGGAAGAAGGAAACAGCAGAGAAGCUUGAGGAUCAGAAGGACACUAGCCCUGCUCUGGUCACCCUGGAAGCUGGCUAGCCUGCACACACCAAAGCUUGAGGAAACAGCAGCCCUGCUUCAGCCACUUGAGGGCUGGCUGAUCAAUGCAAGGAGGAAAAUAAACUAAGCAACAGGACAAAUGGACUGUUUCGUCCUGUAAGAGGGCUCCCAUACUGUGGUGCAUUGCCACCCCUUACUUCUGUCAUAUGCACAGUCCUCUCCUUGGUCUUUACUACAGGACUGACAACCACCAAACACACAGCUAACCCAUAAUGGGGGGCGGGGCAAGGGAAGAUGGGAGGGACUUUGGAUUGGGCAGAGGGGAGUGUGGGAGGGGAGGGAUAUGGGAGUGGGAAGGAUGGUGGAAUGAGGUGGAUUGUAUUAAUCUAUGUACAUGUAUGAUUGCAGGAAUGGGGUGACUGUGCACUGUGUCUAACCAGAGAAAUGAAAAGUUGCCUCCAUUGGUGUUUAAUAGUCAAAAUGCAUUCUGCUGUUAUAUAUAACUAAUUGAAAAAAAUUCAUAAAGGACUAAGGCUUAAAAGGAAGUCUGGACACACCCCAGCCACAAAACUAAUGAACCCCAACAAACCCAACACAUAAAGAUCCAAAUCACAGCAGAGAGGAAUCAUCGCUGCCCUGGGAUGGGGAUCUCCCGAGGGCCCCGGCAGGUGAACCCGGCUCAUCCAUCCUUCCCCCAUUGCCUAGGUGUGUCCAGAGCUGCCCAGUCCACUGGGGCUGGGAGGAGGGUGCCACCUCCCCACUCAGGUACAUUGGAUGGUACCCGAUGGUCUCAGGUUUGGACCGCGUCUCUCCAUCUAAUGUCUUUUAAAAGUCUUUGACCUCCUCCUUCAUCCCUUCAAGCCUGUUCCCCUCUUCCCAUGGAUCCCUCCAUUCACUGAAUGCCUGAUGAGCCCUACAAGAAGGUGGGUGCAGGCUCCUCAUCUCAGGAAGCUCCCAGGGAGUCCCCCGUUCCCAGUUGCCUGAGGAUCUGUUGGGGCUCUCUGCCUGGGUUUUGGCUGACGGAGCGAGGAUAGCCGUGAUGUGCCCCUUCCAGAUCUGGAGCUCAAACCACAUGGUUUCACCCUCUCCUUUCCACUGCCAUGGCAACCACAGUGGCUUUGUGUGCAAGACGGAGUCACUACAAGCUGAAAAGGUCUGAACGUCCUGGUCCCACCUGGAGGAGAGCCACCUGACCCAUAUUGCACUGUGUGACUUGAGCAAGAAAGUAUCCUGGGAGCCGGGGACGUAGGCCAGGGGUAGAGAACAUCUGUGGGGCCCUUAUCUCAGUCUUCAAUGCUGGGGGGAAAAGGAGGGGGGACAAAGAACAAGAGGGCUGAGGAAAUAGCUCAGAUGUGGAGCCCUGCCUAGCAGCUCAAGGCCCUGGGUUUGGUCCCCAGCACUACAAGAAAGAAGAAAGAGGAGGAGGAGAAGGAGGAGGAGGGAGGAAGAAAGAAAAGAAGUUACCCUGCAUUGUGUUUAGCCACUGAAAAGCUGGGGAUGUUUGUUACAACAGCUGGGAUGCUUGUUACUUAUCCUAAUACAGGCAAAAGGAGCACCUUGACUUCUGUGGCUGGGUCACAGCGUCUGAGAGGGCUUCUUGCCAGGCAGUAUAUGACCACUGAGGCCUAAUACUAGCUGGGAGAUGGCAUGAAGUCAGAGAAGGGAAAAGAUACCCAAAGCCCAAAUGCCUGACAUUCAGUAGGUGUUCAGUAAAACUGGUGGCAUGAGCAAAAUACACGAGAACAUUAGAAGAGCUUUGUAAUGGUGGCCAAUGUUGCCGGAGGCCCAGAAGAUGAGCAGGGUUCGGGUGGGGUGGGAGUAGAGACAAUCAGCCUCAAUUAGCCUGGGAGUCCAUACCUACAAGUGAGAAAGGGCAGGCCCUGUCCAUGGGUCCGAGGAGAGUGAGCAGUCACUGGUGCCCUAGAGCAGUGGAGAUGAAGCUGGAACUUGGAGGCUCCCCAAGGCCAAGCUGAAUACUACAGUCUGAGGUCUAAAAAGUGUUUUCUUCUUCUUCUUUUUUUAAUAUUUAUUUUUUGGUUAGACACAACACCUUUAUUUUGUUUAUUUAUUUUUACAUGGUGUUGAGGAUCAAACCCAGGGCCUCGCGCACGCUAGGCGAGCGCUCUACUGCUGAACCACAACCCCAGCCCUAAAAAGUGUUUUCUUUGCAGUGACAGGGGUGGGCCCCAGGGCCUAACACAUGCUAGGCAAGUGCUCUACCAGUGAGCAGCACCCCAGCCUAAAUGACCUUAUGUUUGUCAAAAGUAGCAACGAUCACAGCCUUUGGAGUGGGCUCCAAAGGGGUGUGUGUGUGUGCGCGUAACAAUCUAUUGGGAUAUAUGUGUAAAUAAUAAAAUUCCUAUUGACAUUCUU